AGCCCAGAGGGAAGGAGCCCAGAGGAAACACUGCACUUUGGAGUCCAGAGGAAAGAUGAGUAAUCCAAUUCCAAAACAAACCAACCAAUCAGCAGAAAAUCAGAAUGUUGAAAGUGACAUAUUCCAACUGAUGACAAAAGCCUGCAGGAUCAGAAACUUUUGGUCCCAUGUGCAAUAUGCAGUGUUCAUGGCUUCCUACCUGGAGAAAGUUAAGUUUUAUUGUGUUCAAGGAGGUUGAGAGUAUAUAUUUGAUGUCCCAAGAUUGAGGAAGUGGUCCAGCAGGAAGACUGCAUUGAGUUACCAACUUGGGUGAAAAAGAUCAAGGUGAAGAUUUUAUUCCACAAAGUAUAAGGGGCCAGUAGGUCUUUACAGAAUAGAUAGGCUCAGGCCCAAGUAUGGUGGAUUAAGACUGACCUGAGAGAACACGAUAUCAGCACAUCCAUUGAUGGGAAGGAAGGACGUUGACCCAAUAGGCCAUUGGCUUUGUGGAACAACAGUCUUGAAAACCCUUGGAGAAGAUAGGUGCAGCCAACUCUGGAGGACUGCCUGAAAGGGAGCAGAGCCUGUAGAGGAGGCAUGGAGCCUCUGGAUGAAGGGCCGGUGCAACAUUCAGAGUUCAGUAUUGAUCGUGUUUGUGAUUUAAACACUCAGAGACCAAGGAAUUGACCACUUUGAUGUGGAUUGAUGGUUUCCUGAUGCUUUAUGACAGGUGUGGCCCAGGGACCUCUCCCCCAAGCCUGGGAGAAUCAUCCUCUGCUGUUAAACAGCUCAAUCAUUUCUCAUCCCUGGCAUCCUCACUGGUCCAUUGGCUCCUCCCUUCCUCCCCUCUUACCUACAAGUGCUGACCCUUCCUGGGCUGCUGCCAAACAUGACCCUGGAUACUGUGAGUCUCAGGCUGCUGGGCUACCAGGAUCAGAAUCAAGAAGGGAAAAGGAUCAAAAUUUAUAGAGUAUCUUUUAGAGUACUAGCAUGGUCAUUUCAUUACCAACUUUGCAAAAUAGGUAUCAUUGAUCCCAUUUUAUAGACGAAUAAGUUGAGUCUGAUGGAUAACUUGCUAUGUGAGGGACCCAAGCCUGCUAAUUCUACACUUUUGCACACUCUCACUUUAUUGCCUACAGAAGAGCUCAGAAGGAGAGGGAGGGAGAGGGGGACGGGAAGUAGAACUGUCCCUGGGGUAGAAAUAAAUUGGAGUGCUGGACAUGUGCAUUAGGAGCCUACUAGGCUGUAUUGCAGAUGACUCAGUAUGCAAUGGGCAGGAAGGAGGGGUGAAGAGAGGAGUAGGCAGUUUUCUCCAAAGCUGCUUUACAACAACAUCCCUGAGUGUGAACAUAAGUGAGUCUACAUGUCUAUCUCUGCCUCUUCUACACAUACCUUUGCAGGUUGCUGUGUGGAGUUUUUUGGUGCCUUCUUUUCUAAUUUAACUUGAUUUCCUUGAGGAUGGCAGAGCUGGACAUGUUCAGGAAACCUCAGAAAAAGAGCUGUAUGUCACUAAGUCAGGAAGAGGGCCCAGAGGUCAGGGUUUCUCAUCUGGGGCCAUCAAUACCGGCCUCCUUCUAGCUCUGUCAGACACUUGGCCCCUUCUGGGUACUCUGGCAGAGUUUGGUACCAUUCUCUCACACUGAAGAGAGACCCUCAUAGGUAGAGGCAUUGCAAGCUGCAGGCUGUGGCUCACAUUGCAAUGUAGCUGUAUCAGCCAUGAUUUUUAGUUACAGGCAUCAGCCAACUCUGGCUGACUGAAGCCGAAGAGAGUUUGAUGCAAAGAACACUGGGUGGCUGGAGAAUCAGUAGGAAUGCUGACAGUAAGGCUGGAGAAUAAGCAGCCUGGAGCAGCACCGAGAAUCACAUGGUGGAAGGAGUCUGGAGAAACUUCUACUGCUUCAGCCAUUGAAUGUUGGGCACUAUCAUUGGCAUCACAGUCACCUCUGUGCACAAACUUGAACCUGCAGUAGGGAGAGAGAGAACUCCACCCUUCCUGUGUCUAGCUCCAGAGUCAAAACCCAGGGUGGCACAUGGUGGAUGGAUCCUGUGUACAGCCUGUGCCUGGCUGCAAAGGCUGCUGGGAAAGCCAGUUGCUGCAUUUUUGGCAUCUACAGUGGGAAGCAGCCACUGAAGACAAUGAAGACUCAUGAAGUGGGAACUUCUCAAUGAAAAAGGAGUUCAAAUAUUGGGUGGCCAAAUAAAAUGAUAAAUAUUCACUAUCAUUGCCUUAGUUGAGAAUCGAGAAGCUGGGGGCAGUGUGAGGGUACUGAUGGCAACAUUCUCUAACAGGUAUUGAGUGAUUAUUCUCUGGGCUAACUAUUCUAAAUGCAGUAUCUCAUUUAAUCCUUCCGACAAAUCUCCCAGGCAAUUACUAAUAUUGUACCUAUUUUCCAAAGGAGACAACUGGAUUGUAGACAUGACUGUGGCACAUACCUAGUAGGUGUCUGAGCUGAGGUUCUGGCGUAGGCAGUCUGUCUUCUGAGACUGUGCUCACAUUUUCAUGAUUGAGGGCUGGUGAGGAACUCUAGGGGUAUUUCUUUAAGUUAAAGCAUUAAAACCAGCUGUCCCUAGUGCUCAUCAUUCCAAUUAUGCCACAUUAACUCCAGUCUUUUAAAAAUCCCGUCUCAAGGUACUUCUAGGAGUCUCCAAGAUGGCUUGUGUGAACACGUGUCAGACCAGGUUAUUGGAGGCCACCGUGCUGUCACCUUCCUCUGCCAAGUCCAGGCCCACUGUGGGGACCGCUGUCCAGGCUUAGAAACUCCGGUAUGAACACUGGUGGGCGGGCACUCUCCCGUAGCUGCCCUUGGCCACAAUGGAGAUCUCCCCUGGCCCUCUCCCAGACUGAGUCACCUGUACUACACAGUUUGCCCUGUUUGACACAACUGCCAGCCAAACCUGAGAUCCUCCUGGGUCACUGGCCAUGCCCAGGAGAGGCCUCGAGGAGCCAAUCUUUGCAGCCCAGCCACAGAUGCUCUUGGCCAUCAAGGAGCUUUACUGAGCCCUGUCAGGGGACAGGAGGAUUCACUUCCCUCAGCUCCCCUCUGUGAGACACCUAUAGUAAGGCUACAGAUUUCAAAGGGACGCCAAAUUUGGUUGUUUCCACCAGCGAAACCCAUUUUUGCCCUAGGGCCCACAUAGAUCAUCAGCAUAGUGAUGUCAGCAGCACCCUUCAGGCCCAGGGGCAGAAAACUGCUGGUUGUGACAUCCUUCCUCUUCUCCUCCCCUUUAAAGACCCUGCCUUCCUUUUUCAUAAUUGGCUCAAAUCACUCUCCUCCCACUCUGAUCUCACAUUCAUUAAUUCAUCUGGUCAACAUCAAAUAUUCAUUAUGCACCAAUUAUCUGUAAAACGGGGAUAGGAAUAAUGAUAUUUCAUUGUCUUGGUUUCGGUCUUCGUGCAAGCAGACUUGAGACAAGGGCUUGGUUGCAGGCUUUUUAUUCGGGAGGUGAUCCCAGGAAGCAGGAGUGAGGGAGCAGGAAGAUUGAGCAGGGAAGGAGGAAAACAGUAACCUAAGGGUGUGCUAUUGGUUACUGCUGCUGGCAGUGGGAGCCCAAGUGCAUUGGCACAUCUGAGAAGCACACAGAAGCAUCCCAGGAUUGUCCUCCUGAAGGAAGGGAGGCAAGAGCAUUUAUCCAUAGCUCCUAGCCCCCUUGGUAGAUAGUUGCCUUGGGACAGGGAGUGAGAGGUUGGGGGUUACCUGCCCUGACCUUUAGAGGGCUGAGCUGAUUUCUGCAGCUUUAGCAAGUCUUUAAGGCAGAGAGGAGCAAGCCAUGGGCACAUGCCUAAGUGGCACUGUCCAAGGAAGAAGCUCCUCCUUGCAGUUGGACUGAAGUCAAGAGUGGGAUGAGGGGCCGUGAUACAGCACGGAAAACAUACACUACACUUUCUCAUGAAGUAGUUACCAUUAACUGAGUUAAUUUAUGUAAAACACCUAGAACAAUACCUGCCCCCAAUAAGGCUAUAUGUGUGUGUUUGCUGCUAUUAUUUGUGUGACUAUUACAUGUGCCUGGUGCUUCUCCAGGCUCUGUAGGUAACACUCUCAUGAGACUUACUUUCAGCUCACAAAACAUGCCUUGUUUAUGUGUCAAAGCUCUGAUUCUUGAUACUGUCCAAGUUCUUUUGCCAGGAGAUUCUCAGCCCCCAUGUUUGGGGAUGGCCAGGGGACAUGGCCCCACUUGACUGCCUGCCUUGCCAGUAUCUCUGAUCCAUUUUGGAGGCCUGCCCUGCCAUGCUCUGCUUCCCAGGAUCCUGAACAAGGAUUUGAGAACUAAGGUUUGAAUUCUGCAUAUGAAACAGUCAAACUCAAGUUGUCCAUCUGCUGGGAAAAGAAAAUAGCUUCAGAGCAAAGUCACUUGCCUUUUAAUAAUUGAUGGAUAAAAGAUUGCAGCAUGUGCAAAAACACACUUUCCAGAUCUGCCACUAAGAACGGUUCGGGCAGAAGAAACUGCUCUUUCCAUUGCCCCAGAGGCCAGGCCUGCCCUCAGCUAAUCUGGUGACCUAAUCCUUUCACAUGGGGGAGGACCAGAGCAUUUGCAUACAAGCAAUGAAUGCAUCUUUCCACCAGAGGCUUCCAGAGGCAAGUCCAAUCUAGUUAGUGCUUAUCUGUCCAAGCUGGCUGACCUUCUCCCAGUGCACAGUCCAGUCCCAAGUCCUCCCACCCCUGCCUUGUUCCCAGAACGAGUCUUGACUAUUCUAGCCUCAUACCUCGUCCCUAAGUUGCAACACUUGAUAUGGCUCCUUGAGGACUGCCUUGGCCAUCUCCUUGUUGCCGCUCCCACUGACUGCUUGGGUUUCAGCAGUUCACGGCUUCACGAGGCAACCCCUCCCUCUUGGUUCUAUGAUAACAUAACCGGUCACAGGCCUUUUGCCCAGCCCAGGCACUGAGGGACUGGGACCUGCCCUGGCCCCAUCUUGGCUUUCACAAAUGGGAGCUGGUGAGGUCUCACCCAGGUGAAACCCGGAAUUCACUUUCCUUUCAAAUGUUAAUAUGUUGCUGUGAAAACAUGCCUUUAUCAGUCCAGAAUCCUGUGUCUGUAAUCUCAAUAUCUAAAAGCUCUGAAAGCCAAAAGUUGGUUAUAAUCUGCAUGGUAGCAAAAUCUAACAGGGUUAAUUUCAUUUUCCAGAAUUAUCUGACCUGCACUAAGUGGAGGCUAUCUAUUGCCUUUAUUGAUCUCAUUUGGUGUGAAUACGCAUACAUGCUGCUGGAGAAAUAUUAAUGUCAUUGAUUACGAGGUGUCCCAGAGCUCACUGGGGUGUUGAUGUAUGAAGUGGUAUGUGCACCAAACUGCCUUUCUAAAAUACAUUCUGAAUUCUGAAACAUACCUGGCCCCAAGAUUUUGGAUGAGGAAUUUAGGCCUGUAUUAAAAUUAACCCAGGGAGGGUUAGGGCCUGGGAGAAGUGACCAUGAGUGGCCAUUGUUAUCUAAAGCUAAUGCAGGGAGCCAGGGGCAGCAGUGGCCUGAGUUAAAUAUCACUGGAUCCUUUAGUAUAAUUACAGAGUCAGGACUUAAGGAGAGUCAUUGACAUCCCUUUCAUCAAAAAGAAAAGAAAGAAUUGCUCCCUGUAAUCCAUACCCAUUAAUUCAGCAUCUCCCCUAGAUAGCUGAAACCCCUUCAGAAAGACUGGAAUAUUUUCUAGAUAAUAAAUCUGGGUCUUUAUCUUUCCCUUUUCUUCUUUCCCCUCUUCCCUUUGCCCCAUCCCUGAACUUCCCCCUCUUCUUGUGUUUUUGUCCAUAAAAGAGCAGCUUCUGUCAUUCAUGUGACAAUGAGCCUCCUUAGGUAAUUAAAGGGGAGUCUGCAGCCUGAACUACAAGUGAGAGGUCAUCUUUUUCAGCUUAUAGUCCUACCUCUACUGGGAGUGUGAUUCUGGGGACAAGAAGGAAGAAACGGUGCCAAAGCGCAUGGAUGGCCAAUUGUGCGCCUGGCUCUUCCAUGUGGAGUAGGCAGUGGGGCUGCUUGGAGCACACUUAGUGUUUGCCCUCCAGAUUUUUCCAGUCUCCUCAUAGAUGACCCAUGCCUGAUCUAGAAUAGGGAGGCAGGGUUUUAGAUUUAACUAGAAGUCUUCAUUUGUAUUCUUCCCAGAAGCAGACCCUGAGAUGAGGGUUCUGGGAAAUAAGGAGAACAGCAGUUGGGAAGAGGAGAACAAAGCCAGGGGAUGACUAGAGCUUAAUCCUUUGGGGAAACUCUGGGUAACAGCACAGAACACACCUCAGAGUUAUCUUCCUAAGGUGCCAGAUGAGGGAGUUGAGGUAUUUAUACACCCUCUCCUGAGACUCAUGGGUUGAGGGCUGCUGGAGGCUGCGAUGACAAUGCCCUGACACAUGGGCCUGCUUCCUGGGGGCAAAAGCCUCAGGCACAGACAUACAUACACUGGGGUUUGAAGUUGAUUGUUACAUACUGUAAUAGUAACAUCCAAGCAAUACUAGCAGGGCACUGACAGCAUCUAAUACAGUUUUUUUUUUUUUCACUAAAAUGCAAAGGAAUGUUUGCAUUUCUUUAUCAGAAGAAGGAAAAGAAUGCCAGUCUUCCCAUUUUGAUGGUUGUGCCCACAAGAACCAGCAGAGCCUGGAAGGACAAUAUGCUUGGUAGUGGGAUCAUUUGGGGCUAGUGAGGGGGCAGGGUCUCGGGAAAAAGGGCACGGUGCCUGGUGAAGGGAGUCAUUCUGGGGGUGCUGCAGUGAUGAUGCUAGUGGCAGCUGUGCCCUUGGCAAUGGGAGUGGGGGUCUGCUACUGCAGUGAACCCUGAAAGCAGUAGGGAGGUGCUUCUUUAUAUCCCUUAGAGACUUCAGCAAAAAAUAUCCUUGAAUAAGGCUAGGGUAGGCAAGGGAAAAAUGGCAGGCACAGCAGUGGACUCAGCUUGAUUGUGAAGCCCUUUCUUAGGCUCUGUAUGGGGCUGGAAAUACCACAUGUGUCCUGUUUGGUGGGGAGGGGUCCUGUUGGGUGGAUAAGUGAUGCUCAGAGCAUUUCUAGGGCAGGAGUUGUCAAACUUUUUCCUGCUAAAUAUUAUAGGCUUUAGGGGUACUACUGUCUCUGUUGUAACUACUCAGCUUCCCUAUUGUAUAUCAAGAAAUGGUCACAGACAAUAUGUAAGGAAUGCGUAUGGCUGUGUUCCAUCACAACUUUAUUUAUGGAUGCUGAAAUCAGAAUUUUAUAUAAUUUUCAUGUGUCACAAAUUUUUUUUUCUGAUUUUGUCCAUUCAUUAAAAAAUGCAAAACCUAUUUUUACCUUGUGAGCCACACUGAAACAGGCUGUAGGCUGAAUUGGGCCCGUGAACUGUAUUUGCAGACCCUUGUUCUAGGGCUUCUCUCUGACUUGGGCUCCAGGGUUAAGGGCAGAUUUCCAACCGAUUCUUGACAGCGUAGGAGGGGCAAACCUCCUCCUCACUCCAGUGAGAUAAGUGACUCAUCCAAUAAUGGCAAAGACUCAAAAGCAAGGAGAUAGAACCUCAUGUAUGCGUGGACAUUUAACUGGCUCCGGUGAAGGCUUGAAGCCCUAUUUGCUAAGCUUCUGCUCAUUUGCUGCUCCAGAAAGUGACAGCCUGCAUGACCAGUCCACAGCCUGUUACUUUGGGGAUUUUACAGGGUUCAUAGAGUAAAGAGGAGACUUUGGGUAAAUACAGAUCAAAUAUUUGGGUGACACUGGUAGAGUGAAAAGGUAGACUUUUAAGCCACAUCGCCUUGCACGCAGCUUCCAGCUCUGCCAUUUACAGCCUAGUAAUCUGAAUCAAGACACUUAAUUACUCUGGGUCUCAGUUUCCUCAUCCAUAAAAUGAGGAGCAAUAAUAACCCCCCUUUUAGGCUUAUUAUGAGGAUAAAGUAAGACAAUACGUGAAAUGACCUUGGAUCAAGCUCAGCUUGGCAUCUCAUCUUUACUUAAUGGAUGGUUUUAAAAUUAUUUUUAAUGCCAACUUCACAAAGUUGUGAUAGAAAUUAAAUGAGAUAAAUGUGUAAAGGGCUCAGGGACAUAGUAUGUGUUAAGAAAAUUAUUGCUACUAUUAAAAAUAUGAUGGAGAAAAAAAGGUUAGGUAUUUCUCCAUCUUCUCUUUGGGAUGAUGGCUCUCAAGAGGUGGGAAGAGGAGGACAAUGGCACCUGCAUAAUUUUGAUUGCAGGAUAUUUGUAUUCUUUCCCUUUCUGAAGUUCCUGAAUAGCAAAUGUUUUUGACAGCAAUUGGGUCUGGAUGCCACGUUUUGAAGCCCAACUAACAAACAAGAGAUUAUGAGACUGCAGUUAUCUUUUACCAGCUGCGUGGAAAAAUCCUGUCAUUUGGCAUCACACAACUAUGAAUUCUUUUAUCUCUUUCUCCCUUCUUAUGUGCUCCUGGAGCAUAUGUAAGCAAGCUCUGACAUUGAUAACACAUUCUUAUUAACCAUUAUCUGAAAGAUGGGAUGCCAACUUAGGAGUUUUGCAUUGCAUAUCAGAUGGAAAUUUCCAUUGGGGAAUGGAAUGUUAUCCACUCCUGGCCAAUGACAUCCCAAGGCUGAAGUUACCUUCUACAUACACCAUAGUCUGAGGUCAUGAAUUGGCUAGAUUUCUGCCCAAAUCUUUGCCUACUCCUUCAGAAGGAAAUGGAAUAUGAGGCAACUAUGGGCACUUAGAGGGAACAGAAAGUUGAUUUUCUGUCAUAUAAACGUUAGCUUCUUAGGCAGUGUAGAUGGAGCAGGUGACUGGAGCCAGAGGGAUGGGGUUGUGCUUGUAGAAAGGCCAAAUGAACAGGCUGAGUGGAGACCCUGUGGGGGCCCCUGAGAUGCACCCUUUAAUAUUCAUCCCACUCCAUGUGGUCAGUCUAAGCACAUCAUGUAAUUCCCAUUUUCCUUGACAGAAAUUGGUUAAGUAAAGGGCAUGUUAUCCACUCCUGGCCAAUGAGAUGAGGAAAAGCCUACAGUACGUGUGUGUGUGUUGGUUGGGGGGCAGUCUGGGGAAAGUUUAUCUUCUGUGAAGAAGGAACUCAGAGAGAGAGUGCCUUUUCGCCCUGUGGACUUUGCCAUGAGCGCCUGGUGCUAAGGUGUCAUCCUGCUAUCAUCCCUCUGAGAGACCAGCAUCAAGUAUUCCUGAAAGGCAAGAGGGAUGGUUCCUGGAUCCCUAAGGACAGCAUUGCCUGGCAGCUGAUCUCUACUUGCCUUCAAAUUAUAAUAUCUCUGUGCUUGCUCAUUGUUGAAGUCAGUUUGAGUUGGAACUCUGUUCCUUGUAACCAGAAGGAUCCUAUCUGGGGGCCACAUUUUUGACAUUGGAAUAUCACCAAGGUGAGAAAUAAGGGAAGGGUGUGCACUAGGCAUUUAGAAGAGGGGAGCGGCUGGGCACUUUUAAUGGGUUAGUGUGAAACAUACCUUGUACUCUAUCUGGAGCAUCCUAUAUUAAUUAACUAACUUAUUAAUGAGCCUGUAUAAGGCACCUACUACAUGGUCAGCAUAGGGACAGGUCUUUCUGAGAAUAAAAGAGUCAUAUAAAACAUCAUUCUAGUUGUCAAGCAUCAUAAAAUUUAGUUGGUGGAGACAAGACUAGAAAUAAAACAAAAUAAGUGGUUUAGAGAAGGGCGUGAUGAGUGAGUGCUAGAGUAGGUAAAAGCUUCGUGGGAGAUGGAGAAAGCUAAGCUGGGCCUUAAUCAGCAGAAAGAAUAAAGGUGAGGACAUAGAGACGUUAAGUCACAUGCUCCAACACAGCCAGAAAGUGGCAGAGCUGGGGUUCAAACCCAGUAUGUCUGACUCCUUCCAACCCUGGGCAUGUAACUACUAUGCUGGAGCAUACUUAUGCUCCCAAUGUGUAUUUGUAAGCCUGGAAUGCUCAUAUAUUAAUUUAUAAUGAGAAAUAGAACUGGAAAACAUUAUGAAUUCAAAAUCUGUGAAGCCAAGUUAUAUUCAGAAGGUUCCCAAGGCAGCUUGAAGCUGAUUAACAGACAGGAUAUCCCUGACACCAGGAUGGAGGCAUGUGUCUUGAAGGGCUAGUCCUUCUCUUCCUGGCUAGGUACUGGUAAGAGAAUGGCCAGUUUUGGAGUCUUGGGGCUCCCAUUUAAAUGCUCCAGGCUGUUCCUAAAGUCCUUCUUCAGUCAUGGUGUAAGUCAACUGGUCAGGCCUCUAGGUGUUCAUUAUGUUCACAUUUAAUUCAGUGGUGUACUAGCAAGUGUUUAACAAAUGGCUCUCUGGGGCACUGGGGGAAGCCCUAAUUUGUAACAUUCACCAAGUCAAGUUCCAUGGUGUAAAUACUCCCUCCAAGACUAUUUCAAGCUACCAGCAGGAAGAGAUGCACACAAUCAAUGGCUCUUGAGUGCUGGUACCGGCAGGCUCCAGCACACCACUGUGCUCACAUUGCAUCCUGCCUCUCAGAGCCUUCCCAGAUGCCUUGAUGGGAAUUAUGGAAUGUUCUCAGACUUUUGUAGAACAUUUACCAAAUUAGUCACAGCCAUGUGUGUGAACUUUUUCAGUUUAAUUAUUGGAAAAUGGCCUCACUUCCAAAUUCUUGGAGAACACUGUUUUUACCUUCAUGUACCGUCAACUAAUAGAGCUGUAAGGUGGCCAAAGAAACCAAAGAUGGAUUUCCUUUCUGUAUUGCCUAAAGUCCAGAGUUCUGUUAAAAAUUACUGUCAAGAGUGAGGCUUGGGGUCUGUGCUGCACUGAGUAAUACCAUGGGUAGCAAUAGAUAAAUUGGCACAGAAGAAUCUUCUACAGCACCACCGCCAUUCACCCCCUGCCUCACUUUGCUGUCUUACCCAACAUUACAUGACAGAAAAAAGAAAUUGUGUUGCCUAGUAACAGCUCUGAGCAAGGGGAGACCAGUCAAUACAAUUCUGAAUUAAGGCAACAUCCACAAAAAAAUCCAUCUUGAGGAUUUAUACGAAAACCAAAGUGUAGUUAUAGUCUUACAAGCUGGUGGAGAAGUCCCAUUAGCUUUGGGUAUUGGAUUAUUUAGAAUAAUAUAUCUGAGAUAUAGAUUUCUUUUUCUGGGAAGAAUAAUCUACUCUGAGGCCAUGAAAAUCAAUAGGCCACUUUGAAGACUGACUUCAGCUGUUAUUGGUAAUGUUUUGGUUGUGUUUGUGAAUCAACAAUCAAGCAAAAAUAAGGCCAUUUAGUAGCUCACACUAAAGAGCACUACUUGUCAAUUUUGCAACGAAGCCUCUCCAUCCAUUGAAUGAAACAGCAUCUCCCAAGGGCUGCUGUGAGCCUAUGGAGACCCUGAAAGCUGACACCAGCACAAAGAAUUAAGGAUAAGUCUUCCAGGGUGGCCAGUCAUCCCAGCAUAUUGAGACUGAGGAGUUUCCCAGGAUGCUGGACUUUUAAUGCUAAAACUAGGAAACUCCUUGGCAAACUGGGACAGUUGGUCGCCCUGGAUCAGUGGUUCUCAACUGCAGAUGAUUUUGCCCCUCAGGUAGGGUUGCCAGAUAAAACAGAAGAUACUCUGUUAAGUUUGAUUUUCAGAUAGACAAUGAAUAAUUUUUCAGUAUAAGUAUGUCCCAACUACUACAAUGGGACACAUUUAGAGUUAAAAAGAAUUAUUCUUUGCUUGUCUAAAAUUCGAAUUUAACUAGGCUUUUAACAUUUUUUAAAAAAUUUUUUUUGUAAAACUGACAGUCUUACCCCCAGGAGAUAGUUGGUAAUGAUUGGAAGCCUCUUCGGUUUUCACAACCACAACUUCAUCAGGGAUGCUACUAGCAUCUAGUGAGUAGAGGCCAGGCAUGCUGCUAAACUUCCUAUAAGGCACCAAUGCAGACAACAGCUGCCUAAAACAAAGAAUUAUCUGGCCUGAAAUGUCAGUGGUGCAGAGGUUGGGAAAUCCUGCCGUAGACCUAAACAAGCUGGUGCCACGGAGCUCCAUCUUCCUUGAGAAAACACUAAAGGAUGGACGUGGGCUUCCCUGCUUCAUGCACACAGAUGGAAAAAUGUCACAUACAUUCCUGACCUUUAACACUUUCAGUCUGAUGCGUCAAACAGCCAUUGGGAGCUUAAGAAGUGUCUAGCAAAAUGGGACAAUUCCCCUUGCCGGACUCCCCCUUCCACACUUGGAAGGGUGAGGCAGUGUGUGUCAUCAAACAAUAGAGCAGAUAAAAGCUGAAUCAGGGUGGUCUCCAGGACACCCCCAUCUCCCCAGACUUCUAUGGUGACAUUUCUUGCACUCCUCAAGUUUGUUCAUGGCUUUGAAAACACAGUUUCAGAAUGUCUUCAUUGUUUCAUACGGUACUGGCCGCGCCUGGAGUUUUCCUGAAGGAAACUGUAGCAGCAGGAAUUUUGUGCAAUACUAUAAUAAGGGGGCUUUAUCCUUCCAAAAAUACAUCCUUUCUCCUUGUUGCCAGCUCUCCCACAGCCCUGUGAAAAAUGUAGCUCAGAAGUUACUGAGGCGUUUUUCUGUUUUUCCUUUCUCACUUUAGUUCAUAUCAAGCAACAGAAAGCAAUUCUAUUAUUCACACUUAGGCGUGCUAGCUUGAAUGAAUGAACAAAUCAAAUAUCAAUCCUUUUCUCAUUUCCCUAGUGUGUAAGAACUGAAAUGUAGAAAGUGGCAUCUGCUUAAAAGGAAUUGGUGAAUUUGACUUCUCUAGGUACCUUAUCCAAGUGGAAUGAGUGUUUAAUGGGCACAGAGUUUCAGUUGGGAAGAUCGAAACGUUCUGGUAGAUGGAUGUUGGUGAUGGUUGCACAACUAUGUGAUUAUACUUAAUGUCAUGGAACUGUACACUUAAAAAUGGUUAAAAUAGUAGAUUUUAUGUUAUGUAUAUUUAAUCACAGUUUAAAGAAAGGAAUUGGUGAUGCAUGUCUAUGCAUGUAAGUUUUGAUAUAUGCUUGCUGAUUGAUUAUUUAUCUAAGGUCUGUUUACAUAUUUUCCCCCAGUAAACUUGGUACUUGCCUCAUUGUCCUGUAUCCUUAUCCUUAAAUUAAUUGGACAAUGCCUCUUUCUUCUUCUCCCUCUUCUUAACUCCAGCAGUCACAUGAAGAUAGAAAUAUAUUUUGUCUUUGGAAGUUACUCUUUUUUAAUUUUUUAAUUUUUGUGGGUACAUACAUAGUAGGUGUAUAUAUCUAUGGGGUACAUAAAAUGCUUUGAAAUAGGUAUGCAAUGCAUAAUAAUUACAUCAUGGAAAAUGGGGUAUCCAUCCCCUCAAAUAUUUAUGUUUCAUGUUAUAAUCCAAUUAUACUCUGGAGUAUACGCUGAGUACUCCAAAUGUACUCAAUAGUACAAUUAAAUUACUACUGACUAUAAUCACCCUGUUGUACUACAAAAUACUAGGUCUUAUGCAUUAUUUCUAACUAAUGUUUUUGUACUCAUUUACCAUUCCCCCUCCCCUUCACAGUCCCCCAUUACCCUUCUCAGCCU
This 13261-nucleotide long non-coding RNA is filed under the name Homo sapiens (human). RNAcentral describes it as "HSALNT0053427". The record is from RNAcentral. Lineage: Eukaryota; Metazoa; Chordata; Mammalia; Primates; Hominidae.